Molecule: ribosomal RNA, 253 nt
Filed under: uncultured bacterium
Lineage: Bacteria
Description: partial 16S ribosomal RNA
Rfam family: Bacterial small subunit ribosomal RNA
Source: RNAcentral
UACGGAGGGUGCGAGCGUUAAUCGGAAUCACUGGGCGUAAAGCGCGCGUAGGCGGCUUUUCAAGUCAGGGGUGAAAUCCCACGGCCCAACCGUGAAACUGCCUUUGAAACUGUAGAGCUUGAGUGUCGGAGAGGGUGGCGGAAUUCCAGGUGUAGGAGUGAAAUCCGUAGAUAUCUGGAGGAACACCGGUGGCGAAGGCGGCCACCUGGACGACAACUGACGCUGAGGUGCGAAAGCGUGGGUAGCAAACAGG